UUGGGUGCUAAGAGAAUGGAUGAAUGUAUAUAAAUUGUUUUUUUUUAAAAAUUAAAAAUUAAUUUAAAAAUGAAAAAGUUUUUAUGUAUUAAUGGGACAAGAAGACCCUAUGAAUCUUAAUUAUUUUUAAAAUUAAAAAUUAUUUUAAUAUAAUUUAAUUGGGGCGAUUGAAAAAGAAUAUUUAUCUUUAUUUUGAAUUUAUUUUUUAAAUAUAGGAAAAGAUACUCUAGGGAUAACAGCGUUAUUAUUUUGGAUAGUCCAUAUUGAUAAAAUAGUUUGCGACCUCGAUGUUGAAUUAAUGAACCUUUUAAAUGAAGUUAUUUAGAAAGGUAG
RNAcentral lists this ribosomal RNA (333 nucleotides) under Dermanyssus gallinae. Its description in RNAcentral is "partial 16S ribosomal RNA". The record is from RNAcentral. Lineage: Eukaryota; Metazoa; Arthropoda; Arachnida; Mesostigmata; Dermanyssidae.